GACGAACGCUGGCGGCGUGCUUAACACAUGCAAGUCGAACGAUGAAGAAGAGAAACGCGAACUUCGGUUCAAAUUUCACUUCGGAUUAGUGGCAGACGGGUGAGUAACGCGUGAGCAACCUACCUCUUACAAAGGGAUAGCCUCGGGAAACCGUGAUUAAUACCAUAUGACACAUUCAUAAGGCAUCUUAAGAAUGUUAAAGCUGCGGCGGUAAGAGAUGGGCUCGCGUCCCAUUAGCUAGUUGGUGAGGUAACGGCCCACCAAGGCGACGAUGGGUAACCGGCCUGAGAGGGUGAACGGUCACAUUGGAACUGAGACACGGUCCAAACUCCUACGGGAGGCAGCAGUGGGGAAUAUUGCACAAUGGAGGGAACUCUGAUGCAGCGACGCCGCGUGAGCGAUGAAGGAAUUCGUGUCGUAAAGCUCUGUUCUAUGGGAAGAAAAGGACUGUACCAUAGGAGAAAGCCCCGGCUAAAUACGUG
This 482-nucleotide ribosomal RNA is filed under the name uncultured bacterium. Its description in RNAcentral is "partial 16S ribosomal RNA". It matches the Rfam family "Bacterial small subunit ribosomal RNA", at positions 28 to 507 of the family's 1533-position model. The record is from RNAcentral.